Molecule: long non-coding RNA, 3612 nt
Filed under: Lathyrus oleraceus (garden pea)
Lineage: Eukaryota; Viridiplantae; Streptophyta; Magnoliopsida; Fabales; Fabaceae
Description: Pisum sativum (pea) long non-coding RNA (PSAT_LNC019611)
Source: RNAcentral
AAAAUGAAAGUCACAUAUUAUAAUUCAAGGACCAAUUUUCAUUAUAAACUUUCAAAGUUUCAUUACAAAAAGAUUCAAAACCAAAUUCUAUACAAAAGUACACAUUUUUUAACUAGAGUUGACUUUGAUCAACGAUUGACUUUUUGGUCAAAAAUUGACCAAAGUCAAACUAACUACCCUAACCCCUAAAUCCACUUUGGUCUUCCCUUUCCAAGAUUUUCUUCAUUCAUGCCAUGAUUUCCAAAAGCCUUCAUGAUCCAUAUGGUUCCAUGCCAUUUUGGGUCCAUGUCUUUAAACCUUGCCACCACCAUGCUUAAGCCAUCUUCAAACCUUGCUAGCCCAUGCCAAAUCAUCUCAUAUGUGUAAUAGUCCUGCAACAAUGAUACAAACAUAACAUAAUCAUGACUCAUACCAUACAUAUGCACAUUAUCAUAACCAAAAUCAACCAUUCAAAAUCACAAAAUCAUAAGCCUCUGCAAACCAAAACUUAGCAUACUCAUUAUGCAAUCCAAACAAAAUUGAUACCUGCACAUAACUGUAUGACUAUUCAAGUAAUCAAACCAACAUACCUUAAAAUUUCCAUCUAAACUAAUUUACAACUGAUUUUAAACAAAUAUUACUAACCCAAUUAGUAUAAGCUUUCUAACAGUCCCAUAUUACUGACCAACCAAUGCAAAUUGCAAACAAAUCCCAUAACAAUCCCAUAACAAUCCCCUAACUAAUGCUAUAACAAUUUAGUACCAAUGCAAGAAGUCAACAACUAACAAUCCACCAUUUCAUAAAAAGUUCUAGUUUGAGCUAAUUUUCUCUAGCUUGACAAUGCUAAAAAACAUGUUAACAAUUUGACAGUUCAACUCAAAAAAGACUAAGCAUUAACAAUAACAGUUCAUGUUAUAACAAAGCAUUUCAUAAAUAAACUUCAUAGCAGUGUAAUUCUUAACUCAAUUACCCAAUCAUUAAACUAUUAAUUGUCAAAAUCAAACUAACAUAUCUCUAACUGAUUUACAUGUUUCAAAUUAACUCAUUUCAUCACAGUACUAACAUUAAACUAACCAAUUAACUAAUGUUCACCAACCUGUCAUACUAACUUAUUCAUACUAACUAACAACCAUGACAUGAUUCCAAUUCAUAAACAAUCCCAAUUCUCUAACUGCACUAACUGCUCACUAAUUCCAUUUCAAACUUCAACUAACACUCAUUUCAAACAUUAACAGGUUACUAACCUUUUUUUCAAACUAACUCAGUAACAUCACAAGUUAAAUAAUCCAAAAGUACGAUAACUCUUGGACUAACACUAGUCUAACACCAUACCAGUUCAUCAUGGAUUAAUAAUAAUGCAAAUUAACCUCAUGCCACCCAAUUAAAAUUUUUACUUAAGGAGUGUUAACAUCAAUGUCUAAUUAUACAUUUUCAAUGCAAUUAGCUAACUCAUAACAACAUUCACAUUUUUCUUAACAGUUUCUCACUAAUCUAAUUCAUGUCUAAUUCCAACUAACACUAACUUCACCAAUAAGUAACCUAGUUUGGGCCUAAGCCAACCAAGCCCAUGGAACUUGCUACGCAACACCCCCUUUCCACUUGAUACACCGCUUUCUGAGCUAAGGCCUCAACAAUUUUGGGCCUCCCUGACCAAGCCCAAUGCAUUCCUAUUAUCCAUACUCCCUUUUCAUUGAUGACAUUCUCUGCCUCUAGUUUCUCAGGUUAAUCACUUGCUCUUUUUUUUUUAUAAAUUUUCUACACUUUAUUGAAUUUUAAUACAUGCAAUAUUCAUGUUAACACUUAUUUCUACAUUUUAUUUUGAUAUGAAAUUCUUAGAAAAUUCAUGAUAAUAGACUUUAGGCCAUUAUGAAUGUUUUUGCGUCCAUUGUUUUUUUAGUCUUUUUGCUUCAUUAAAUGGAACACGUAUUUUUUACCAUUUUUUUUUUUAAUGUCAUUUAUUGUAUUUUACCUUAUUAUUUAUCACAACCUGACUCCAUUUAAAGUCUUUUUCUACGUUGCAUUCAAUUCACACACACAUGUGUUGACACGAAUUAUUUAUAUAAAUUUCUUUAGAGAUUUUUCGAGUUAAUCUCACAGAUUUUCAAACUCGUGAUUGUUUAUCAAAAACACCGGUAAACAGGAGGCUGCUGACAAAUUUUAUUAGAAGGGCAAUUCAUCAAACACAUUCUCAAUUCAUAGUUUUUAUGGACUGCUACAUAAUUCUGCAACUUUGGAGGCGCCUGUCUUAAAGGCUUUGAUGUUUGGAGGUACAAAAUUCCACCAAUAAUCAAGCUUUUUGAUUGGAAGUUAUUCCUCAAUAGAUUAUCAACUAGAGACCAACUUAAUAAAAGAGGAAUUUUAGUUAACAAUCAUGAUUUACCUUGUAUUUUGUGAUUCAAGGAAUGUUUGAAUCCCAAGUGUCUAGACAAAUAUGGAAGGGGUUAGAAAAUUGGAUUGAGAUUCCUAUUAUGGUGGAACAAUAUUGUUGGCAUUGCUUCAGGGUCAGUUUGUUUUAGCUUUAAAAAAAUGAAUUUUUUCUUUUUAUUUUUGAAAAUGAAUUUUACAAAAAUAUUUUUCAAAAUAUUAAAAGUUUUUUUAAAUUUAUUUUUUAUAAAUUAAAAGAUUGGAUUAUUCAUUGUAUAACAUAAAUAUACAUUAUUGAAGAUCAAAACAUAGUCAAAAUCACAAAUUUAAAAAAAAAAUUGUAUCUCAAAAAUGAUUUUUAAUAAAAGCUAUUUGAAAUAGCUUCAAAAUUAAGUGAUUUUUUGAAAUUUUGAUAUCGAAAAAAAGUUUCGAUAAAAUGAUAAAAUACCUAAAAUCACAUUUCAAGAAUAACUAUUCAAACAAAAUUUUCAUUUGAAACUUUUAUGAAAAGUUUCUUUGUAAAUUUUUUUUACACUAAAAUAUAUAACACUAUAAAAAUCAUUUUAAAAAAAAUUCAAAACAAACGGGCCCUUAAUCUCUUCAAGAAGAUUUCAAAUAGGGUGAAAGAAGGAAAUGAAGGGCUUAUUUGGUGGACAAAGUGCAAUUAUUUGACACCAAUACGAUAAUUAAGAAAGAAAAAGUGCAAUUAUUUGAAGCCAAUACGAUAAUUAAAUGACAGCUUAUUGAUUAUUUUACAAGGCCACUUAGGUACUGUAUUGUGUAGUAUGACUAAAAUAAAGAAUAAAAAAAUCAUGGUGGUGCAAUAUAUCCGGGCAUAACACAUUUGCAAUAGGAUUGAAACACACACUUCAUGAUCUUAGGUCUUCGACAACUAUCGGGACAAUGUGAAUCUUUAAAACACGUACGUUUCCAAGCUGUAAUGACAAAAGAUUUUUAAAAAGAUAAUGUAAUUCAAAUGGGAUGAAAUAUUAUAUAUAAAGUAAAGAGAAAAUUUUAAAACAAUAAGAUAAAUUACCUUCAAUGUUUGUUGAACUAAUAAAUAGGAACAAAACGAUAAUUAUUACUACAUUAAUAAAUUUGACAGUUUGAGCCAUAUUUCUCCUUUUUGCAUUUAUGAAACUCUUUUACUAUCACUUUAUAAUUUAUAAGGUUAUUUCUUCCCUUACAUAAACUAUAUAGUUUUUAGCUCUUAUGGAGUUGUAAAAGAAACUUUCUAAAAUGCCCUUUUAGUACAUCGAUGUAUUAAAU